CAUUCGAUAGCUCAGCUGGUAGAGCGGAGGAAUGUAGUUGGUAUCCGUUAGCAAUAUUUAGGUCGCUGAUUCAAUUCCGGCUCGAAGGA
RNAcentral lists this transfer RNA (89 nucleotides) under Pelobates cultripes (western spadefoot toad). Its description in RNAcentral is "tRNA.Tyr". Lineage: Eukaryota; Metazoa; Chordata; Amphibia; Anura; Pelobatidae. The record is from RNAcentral.